AGUAACCCAGAGGGCGUGAUCAGGUGCCAUGGGUGCAGAAGGGGAACUGAAGUCCUGAUGUCUCUGCUGUAGCUGCCCCAUGGUCUCUCCAGCUGAGGUGACGCGCCCUCCCCCAUCGACAUCAGCCCCCCAGCCAGAGCUCAGCGAUAUCUGAGAAGCACUGACCCAGCAGCCCACAAUUCCUCCAGUCUUUGUGAAGGGCAUGUGGGCAGCGUCUUCCACCCUCUGCUCCCCAGGACAAGUGUUGGCCACCACAGGAGGCAGCUGGGGCCAGCAUUAAGGAGCUCUGAUGGGAGAGACCUGACCUCUACCCCAAGUAGUGGAGUUGGACUGACCCUAGCCACAGAAAUGCUGGCCAGCUGGACCACGAGCCUCACCCCUGUCCUCCCCGCAUCUCUUCUACACACAGCCCAAAACCCUGGGUGUGUACACAAGCCGGACAUGGUACACAACUUUACUAAAGGCACUCGGAAACCUGAGGCAGGAGGAUUGCUGAAAGUUCUAGGCCAGUUUUGGGUUUACAGAAUGAGUCUGAAAAAGCAAACCAGCGAAAAACUCUGAACCAGCGACAGUGGCACCGUGUGGUGCUCUGAGCCUAAGUUCUGGAGAUUUCAGAACCAGAUUCCCCGGGGCUGGGGCCUGGAACCUGUUUUAAGAAACUCCUGGGGGUUGGGGAUUUGGCUCAGUGGUAGAGCGCUUGCCUAGCAAGUGCAAGACCCUGGGUUGGUCCCCAGCUCCGAAAAAAAGAA
Rattus rattus (black rat) is the source of this 749-nucleotide long non-coding RNA. RefSeq lists it as uncharacterized. The record is from RefSeq and is a predicted model, not a curated record. NCBI's taxonomy places the organism in Eukaryota, Metazoa, Chordata, Mammalia, Rodentia, Muridae. The transcript is spliced from 2 exons.